CCUACGGGAGGCUGCAGUGAGGAAUAUUGGUCAAUGGGCGGAAGCCUGAACCAGCCAAGUAGCGUGCGGGAUGAAGGCCCUACGGGUCGUAAACCGCUUUUGCACGGGGAUAACACCCUCCACUUGUGGAGGUCUGCAGGUACCGUGCGAAUAAGGGCCGGCUAAUUCCGUGCCAGCAGCCGCGGUAAUACGGAAGGCCCGAGCGUUAUCCGGAUUCAUUGGGCUUAAAGGGAGCGUAGGCGGGCGUUCAAGUCAGCUGUAAAAUCGCGCGGCUCAACCGCGCCCCGCAGUUGACACUGGACGCAUUGAGUUCACAACAGGCAGGCGGAAUUCGUGGUGUAGCGGUGAAAUGCAUAGAUAUCACGAGGAACCCCGAUUGCGAAGGCAGCCUGCCGGGGUGCGACUGACGCUGAGGCUCGAAGGUGCGGGUAUCAAACAGGAUUAGAUACCCCGGUAGUC
Molecule: ribosomal RNA, 459 nt
Filed under: uncultured bacterium
Lineage: Bacteria
Description: partial 16S ribosomal RNA
Rfam family: Bacterial small subunit ribosomal RNA
Source: RNAcentral